RNAcentral lists this long non-coding RNA (239 nucleotides) under Panax ginseng (ginseng). RNAcentral describes it as "long non-coding RNA (PGIN_LNC018042)". Lineage: Eukaryota; Viridiplantae; Streptophyta; Magnoliopsida; Apiales; Araliaceae. The record is from RNAcentral.
UAUUACUGUACUUUUACUACCGAGUAGUUCAACAGUUUUAACAGUAAAACUUCCUCCAUUUGAAGAACCUUCUUCCUGAUAUCACCGGUGUCUGGAUCUCUUUUGAGAUGGGUGUUUUCAGGGUCUUUGUUGGUCAUAUCCAACAGAGGUUCUUGAAUUGUCUUUUCCAGACCUUGAACUCCUCCUUAUGUAGAGGAUUCUGUAUGUGUAGGUAUCUUCGUACCCUGAGUGGACUUGUG